CAACGAGUCGCAAGCUCGCGAGAGUAAGCUAAUCUCUUAAAGCCGUUCUCAGUUCGGACUGUAGGCUGCAACUCGCCUACACGAAGUCGGAAUCGCUAGUAAUCGCGGAUCAGCAUGCCGCGGUGAAUACGUUCCCGGGCCCUGUACACACCGCCCGUCACACCAUGGGAGUUUGUAACGCCCAAAGUCGGUGGCCUAACCUUUAUGGAGGGAGCCGCCUAAGGCGGGACAGAUGACUGGGGUGAAGUCGUAACAAGGUACC
Molecule: ribosomal RNA, 262 nt
Filed under: uncultured bacterium
Lineage: Bacteria
Description: partial 16S ribosomal RNA
Rfam family: Bacterial small subunit ribosomal RNA
Source: RNAcentral